UGCAAUGUAGUGUAAUUGGUUAUCAUAAGAGACUCAUGAUCUCUUGAUAUAGGUUCAAAUCCUGUCGUUGCUA
RNAcentral lists this transfer RNA (73 nucleotides) under Eremothecium sinecaudum. RNAcentral describes it as "tRNA-Met". It matches the Rfam family "tRNA". Rfam says of the family: Transfer RNA (tRNA) molecules are approximately 80 nucleotides in length. Their secondary structure includes four short double-helical elements and three loops (D, anti-codon, and T loops). Lineage: Eukaryota; Fungi; Ascomycota; Saccharomycetes; Saccharomycetales; Saccharomycetaceae. The record is from RNAcentral.